Molecule: ribosomal RNA, 305 nt
Filed under: uncultured bacterium
Lineage: Bacteria
Description: bacterial SSU rRNA
Rfam family: Bacterial small subunit ribosomal RNA
Source: RNAcentral
CCUACGGGAGGCAGCAGUGGGGGAUAUUGCACAAUGGGGGAAACCCUGAUGCAGCGACGCCGCGUGAGUGAAGACGGCCUUCGGGUUGUAAAGCUCUGUCAAUCGGGACGAAGAAGAUGACGGUACCGAUGAAGGAAGCUCCGGCUAACUACGUGCCAGCAGCCGCGGUAAUACGUAGGGAGCAAGCGUUGUCCGGAAUUACUGGGUGUAAAGGGAGCGUAGGCGGGAAUGCAAGUUGGAAGUGAAAGGUAUGGGCUCAACCCAUGAACUGCUUUCAAAACUGUAUUUCUUGAGUGAAGUAGAGG